ACGAUCACAGACGUCCUGGCCACGUCGGAACCCAAACCUGUCUCUAGGCGGAACCUGGUUCUAAAGCACUUCAAAGAUGAGCGUUCCGUCAUUGAGCUGGAAUAGCUUAAACUGCAGGGUAGAGGAGCAGCUGAAGUUUGAGGUGACAUACAUUGGGGUGGAAACACCAGGAAGACUGAAGCCCUCCUAGGGAAAGGGAUUUAACCCCAGUUUGGCCUUGCCAGCACUGCGCUUCCUGGUUCUGGACUGGAAUUGGAGGGACCAGAAGCUUUGCAUGAUGGUGGACAUCCCUGAGGUCGAAACUGACUUGCUGAAGCUGCUGGAUACGGGCAUCUUGAAAGACUGUAGAGAAGGAAAAUUCAAAGUGGGACUCUUCUGAUACACAUACACACACACCGGUUGUCGUACUCUGCCCUCUGCCAUAGACUGACACACAAAACACACCCAACCAUUUCGAACUGGACCUCUUCUGCUCUCACACAAGCACACACACCAAAGUUGUUUUUGUAGUAAACAAAAACUGAAACAAAAAUUGGAAAAACAAUUGCAAAACAAACUGCAAAACGAACUAAAAUAAAAUAAAAAAUAACAAUUAUUUAUGUUUAGUUUAAGUUUUAUUCUGAAGUUUGAGCAAAAAUCGAAUGUUUCUUUUGUUGUUGACGUUUCGUUUUGAUUUACAUUUGGUUGAGAUG
Salmo salar (Atlantic salmon) is the source of this 692-nucleotide non-coding RNA. The record is from RefSeq and is a predicted model, not a curated record. Lineage: Eukaryota; Metazoa; Chordata; Actinopteri; Salmoniformes; Salmonidae.